This 253-nucleotide ribosomal RNA is filed under the name uncultured bacterium. Its description in RNAcentral is "partial 16S ribosomal RNA". It matches the Rfam family "Bacterial small subunit ribosomal RNA", at positions 524 to 776 of the family's 1533-position model. The record is from RNAcentral.
CACGUAGGGCGCAAGCGUUGUCCGGAAUUAUUGGGCGUAAAGAGCUCGUAGGCGGUCUGUUGCGUCCGCUGUGAAAACUCGGGGCUUAACCCCGAGCCUGCAGUGGAUACGGGCAGACUAGAGGUAGGUAGGGGAGAAUGGAAUUCCCGGUGUAGCGGUGAAAUGCGCAGAUAUCGGGAGGAACACCGGUGGCGAAGGCGGCAUCCUGGCCCUGUCCUGACGCUCAGGGGCGAAAGCGUGGGGAGCGAACAGG